GCUUAAGCAUAUCUCGAGCGAGUGAGUUUCCUUCCAUCAAGUUCUAAGCGAUCAAAUAAGGUCCUUGCUCUCGAGCCAAUGCCAAUACCAAUUGAGAGGGUCUAAACGAUGGAUUCAAAGGAGGUUAAGGGCAAAUGCAAUCUCUGAGCCAGUUGGAGAAAAAAGGGCAUCAAAGAAAGUGUCAGUUGGACUUUCCCUGCCAACCCUACCCAAAUUUCAUACCCAGCAGUUUUCGUGCCUCUAUUGAUAUUUCGUUCCACUCCUUACGUCGAGCGACUGUCGUUCCCGGGUCUUCACUAUUUGAUAGAAGCCCACAUACCCUCUCUUCUAUCCCCCCUCUACCCUACAGGUAUAGGAGGCCUCGGUAUCUCGAUUUGCAAAGAUGGAUACCUACUCCGCAUCUUAUC
This 407-nucleotide long non-coding RNA is filed under the name Hordeum vulgare. Its description in RNAcentral is "long non-coding RNA (HVUL_LNC007236)". The record is from RNAcentral. Lineage: Eukaryota; Viridiplantae; Streptophyta; Magnoliopsida; Poales; Poaceae.